Molecule: non-coding RNA, 2020 nt
Organism: Phascolarctos cinereus (koala)
Lineage: Eukaryota; Metazoa; Chordata; Mammalia; Diprotodontia; Phascolarctidae
Source: RefSeq, a predicted model, not a curated record
UUAAGGCAGGAUCCUGCGAGCUCACGGAUCAGGCCCCUCUCUCGCUACCUGAGCCUCUCGACUCAGCCUUUGUCCCAGAGGACGCGCGAUGGAUCUGCCGGGCGCCUGGGCCUGCCGGCUUGCUGGAUGGGGUGGGGGAGCGGAGUGCAGGGAUGAUGCUGAGAACAAGGGAGCCGAGGAUGCCUCGGGGGUGGUCCCAGAAGAGCUCAUCAGCACCCCGAGAUCCGGGCAGGGGCGGCACGGAUCGCUACCCCACGUGGCGGGUGACCGGCCCCAGCUCGGAAGGCGCUGUCUCUCUUCCCCGGGGCCCGGGGGACAGCGCCCCGCUCCCUCGUGACGGCCGCCCAGGAGCGCCAGAGCCACGUGGGGGCGCGGUGGGACUUCCCCAGAAGCGGCGCCAACUUUGCCGCGCCUCUCCGGGCUCCCGAACCGGACUGCCGGGGAGCUAUAGAGGCUGCCUGGGGUCCGGCCGCCUCCCGCAGGCGUGAGACCUGCUGGCCAGCUCCCGCCCGUUUCCCCUAGCCAGCUCCUGCGCUCUCCGUUCCAUCAAUCGCCACACCCCAGCCCUUCCCUGGCCUCCAGUCGGGGCACACACCCUUAGCUCAGUCCUGCCGGGGGCUGCAGCAAAGUUUGAGGGGCAAGAGGGACAGUGCGGCCACUACGCCUUCAUCCCCUAGUUCGGGGCCCAACUCUGCUUGCUUCCCGGGAGAAUAAAGUAGGACGGGAAUGGGGAGAGGAGGCCAAAGACCGGGCAACCGGCAUGGGGCAGAGGCAGGGGUGGGUGGGCCGGGCAGAAUUCCGAGAGACCUUCAGAGGCUCAGCUUGGAGGGACAGCAACUGCUGCACGGGAGCCAGGGUCCGAGCACAGCCGCCUGGGGUAAGCGGCUGCGGCUCCCAGUGCGGGAAGAUCCAGUCUACAAGGGCAGAACUUUGAGGGAAUGAAAAGCUCCUCCGCUUCUACUCGAAUGACUGGUUCCUGCCCCACUUCGGGCAGCUAGUCCUCAGGAACCCACUGACUCCGAGAUCAGUAGCUCGGAGGACCAGCCUUCCUGGGCACUGGCCCUGGCUAACCCUGGGGCUAUUCUCCCCGGACUUCAAAGGCGGCAGGACAGCACAGCCUCUACGCCGGCCCCUCGAUUUUGGAGGUCACGGGGAGAAAUGGGCCGGGAACCGAGAAUGGCACAUUCCGCAGGCAGUGGGGGAUGGGGGAAGUGGGGGGAGGAGAUCCCAACUCCUCUUCCUGCCCCCCACCCAAUCUAAAGCCCAUUCAAGUCCAGCCCCUACCCUCCAGGAAGCUCGGCCCUGGAGCUAACCCGCUGGGGUCCCUACUUCCUCUGCUCCCCCUUUCUCCUCAUUCCCGGGAGAGGGGGGGAGGAUUGUCUCAGACAUGGUCUCUUAUGUGGACGUCAGCAGGUGCAGGUCUUUUCCAGGACCACUAUAUCUCCUCCUCCCACACGCACAUAGACACACUCAAGCCCCAGCCCGGAGAGUCUCCUAAAUGGACAAAGUGGUUGAUAUCACCCGGGCAGAAUGAACCUUUGCAGUUCAACAGAGGCAUUUGGGGAGACCCAACCCCAGACCUCCGCCAAGGUCCUGGGGAGGAGCGAGUGAAAGAGAGACCACUGGUCAGAACCCACCCCACCAGCCCCAUUUGAGCCUAGGGGAGGGGCCCUCCUCUCUGGGGCUGGGCACACCGAUAAGACCUUGCCGCUGUUACCUUGGCACUUGGGGACUUGUCUACGAAGCGCAAGUCUUUCUCCCUAAAGCCUAGAGAAUGGACUGGAGAGAGGCGCAGAAGGGGUGUGGGCUGAGUAAAGUGGGCGCACGCUGGGAUGUGUGGCGAAGACCGUGGGAGAAGGAGCCUGGGAGUCCUCAAAGUCAGGUUCUGUUCUAGCCUUCACGUGUGUGACCUUGGCCAAGUCAUUUGUCCCCCCUCCCACCCUAUUAACCCCAUUCGGUGCAUUCCUCUGUAAAAUGAGUUUGAAUUCGAUGACCUAUAAACUCCCUUUCAGCUCUGAUA